Siniperca chuatsi (mandarin fish) is the source of this 5550-nucleotide long non-coding RNA. RefSeq lists it as uncharacterized. Lineage: Eukaryota; Metazoa; Chordata; Actinopteri; Centrarchiformes; Sinipercidae. The record is from RefSeq and is a predicted model, not a curated record. The transcript has 2 exons.
GUUUCCCCUCAGGGAUCAAUAAAGUAUUUCUGAUUCUGAUUCUGACAUUGGUUGCACUCUUCUUUUCUCUUUGAAUACUGAACAUGCAUUUGAUUAUAUCCUGUAUGUAGUAUUUGCCAUGCCAGGCCGUUUAUUGCUGACCAGAUGUCUUUAUUGGUUUUCCAGGGUUGGUUUCAGCCAUACUGAUCAGGUCUGGUAAUACGUGUGUGUAUAGAUGUUUGUGUUGUUGGGGUGUGGAUUCCUGGGAAGGGGUCAUCAACAACAUAAACAAUAUAUGGGAAAUAUAUUUUUUAUAGAGGACAUUGAGAUUUAGAGAAUUAUUUAUGUUUUUUUUUUCUUGUUUUCUGUUAUUUCUAUUAUGCAUUAUGAUGUUCUAUUAUGCAAAAACAAAAACAAGAAUGCACAUUUCACAAUAUUGUUUGAGUGAUUUCUUUCAUCACUCUCCUCACCAUUGCUGAUCAUGUGAAAAAAAUCAAUAAAAGCCCGAUUAAGAAUUGUCAUUUUUCCCAAAAAGGGAUGACCAGAUGUUUUGGCAUGGAAACCAAAAGCAUGAACGCGCCAAACAUUGCUGAUCACUCUGAUACUGAUCAUACUGCUCUGUAACUAGAUAAAAAGCACAAUAUGUUGUGUUAUGUUGUUAAGUUCUGCGGGGAAACUGGCUCCGACCUGAAUAUCCAGGCACUUCCAUGUAGGCAGGGGAGCUGGAAGGAAGGAGGGGUCGGUGGAUUACGUCAGAAUCAGGCUCCUCUGACUCAUCAGCCCUCUCUCGCUCUCUCUCUCUCCCUGCUUUUUUCAGCGCUUGGCUGCAUCAGCCUGUCACAUGAUGACAAUCAGUCCAGAAAUGGUUGCCAAGGAAGCUCUCUCCCUCACAACGCCUCGGCCCUGAGUCAUAGAUUGCCAGAGUUUUACAAAUCUACUGUAAACUGGUUCGGUGUUGACAGCCAGACUCCAGGAUCACAGAUUGCUUUAAUGCUGUUUGCAUAAGCCAUGGUGUCAUAAAUAGACUGUAGCAAAAUAAAUGUAUUCUGAGUGUUAUGUAUUUUGUGUGGCUGUGUUUGCAUAACUCUGUAAAUCCAGGACUCUGCCUCAGUCCAUUCCCCUUUCUCUCGCUGUGGCUGGCAAGCCUUCCUUAGCAACAGCAGUCCCUGUGACAACUGAUGCAAGCAGCAGUUUUCAGAUACAGAAGAACGCUGUGCAUUUAUUCAGUAGGGUUGUUGCGUUGUCACCUCUUGAACAUCACAUUCUCUCUUAAAAAGUGUCAGCUGCAAGCAUACAGACUUUCAUGUCACCCCACACACACACACACACACCACCAGGUUCACUAUGUCUGCAGUGUUACUCACAUUAUCUCUGUUCAUGAAAUUGUUUUGUACAUGGAAUCACAGUAUUUGGCAGCAUGCUGAUCUUUCCAUUCCCAGCUAUUUUCAUUUGCAUCCCAACGUGUUAUUGUUUGCUUUACAAAGCCUGUAUUCAAAAACACACCUGCAUUAUUUUCCGUUGUGUUGUGUUGUUGCUGCAAAUGUCUCUACUUUCUCCUUCUCCACCUUGCUAACGUAGUAAUAUUGAGUCUCUUUCAUUUACAGCAGCUAUAUGUAGGCCUAUUUUGUGACUCAGCAUGAGUGCAUUUGUAACAUGAGCGGCCCUACUUGGUACCAAACAAGUAGUGGCAUGUAGUAUUAUUACAUGUAGUAUUUCAAAAUAUUAAUAUACAACGGUCACAUUACUACCACACUAAUAAAAUAAAGACAACAGGGCAAAGCUCUCAUACUGGUGUUUGUGUUUUAUGAACAUGUUUGGUAACAAAUUGCUUCCUACCACUUCCUGUGUUGCACUAUAAAUCAGAGAUGGGCAAUCUCGUGUCCCAGAGAGCCACACAUCUGCAGGUUUCUAAUCAAAGACAACAGUAGUUUCAGAUAAAGUUGUCUUUUGUUAGACUCAUAACAUGGAUUGAUAAGAUGAUUGUGUAUAGCACUUUUUUCAUGUUACUGUAAGACACAGUGUAUCUCAUUUUGAACUGAUGCUUUUCUUCAGGCAAUAUAGAGAUAAAGAGCAAAGAUCAUGGGCAGCAUGAGCUUUGGUAUCUAUCCCAGUCUAGGAAAACAACAGCUGAUUAAUUAUUCAGUCAUGCAAAAUGAGUUGUAAAUGUGUGAACCUCAGUAGGGACACUUCAUUAUACUAUAAAAGGGAGCAGAGACUACAAGGUGAGUGAUUUCCAUCUGAAUGGAGGUGGACUUUCUCCUCCAGAAGGUUGGUGGAGAGAGAGAGAGAGACGGAGAGAGAGAGCAAAUCUAUACAAUAAUAAUGUUAUCAAUGCUGUGGCCAGUGAAUUAUGUGCAGACAAUGUAUUUUUAAUGUGAGUGACAGCAACUGUGCACUGCACAAACCAACUGCGGGGCAGGAAAUGCUUAAUGCUGGUAUAGAUAAAAAUCAUCAAAGAUGAUCACUGACAUGAAACAAGAUUAAGAUUAACAUGCUUCCUAAUCCUACAUGUGUAAUCUCUUUUGUAGCAUAUGUCUCUGAGUCUUUGCAGUUUUGUUAGAAGGGUGUAGCUAUGAUGAUGUUGUUUACCGUUUUUGGUCAAAAUACUGCAUAUGUAUGAAGUUUGUCCCAAUAUAUGGCAACAAUAUCCACAAUGGCAUCAAAGAAAGAAAGAGAGGAGAAAAAUAGAAAGUAAGAAAAAUGGAGUAAGAAAAGGAGAGAGAUGCAAGGAAGUGCAAGACAGCGACAACUUGUGUGUGUUUGUGUGUGUGUGUACACAAACAGCCAGGCUCAGGUGUGAAAGUCUGGUUUGUCAUCCCAUUGUGCCUCCUCUCCCCGCCUGUUUAUCUUUUCCAACACAAUCAAAGAGGAAACAUUUCAAAGUGUCUAACUGCUGUAACUGGUUGAACGUCUCUCGUAUCCAGACCGCUUUAUUCAUUCUCGCAGUUGUAAAGAUACAAGAGCAAAGGUGAGAUGAUACUGAAGAGUGGCUGCUCUUUACACAUACUUUCAAUACUUGAUUUCAAACAUUUUGGACAAAAUGGUUUCAUAUUUUCCUCAAUACUCAACAGAUAAAUGCAGUGCUGUUUUAUUACUUUAACUCUGAGGAAAGCCACUAACUUAAUUUAAUGACUGGAUUUUCUUUUGUAUGAGUAAUCACUUACAGAGCAGAAAUCAAAUCUUUUCUCUAAUCUGUCUGAACUAAAUCUUCACUUUCCCUUCAAACUCUUGCAUAUUGUGCACAUGACUUUUUAAAUCAUUUGGUACCUUUGUGUCUUUUGGGAUUUGAAAGCCACACAUAUGUUAAAAUUAAAAGCUGUGUGAAAACAAAUGUUUGAAAAGUAUAUAUAAAGGUAUAAUAAAGUUCUAAUAUGUAAUUAUAACAAAUAUCUUGUAUAACUGUUCACUUUUGGAAGUAGAUUUUACAUUUGAGAUGUUGUGUUUUAAGGUGAUUUGAGGUUGUAUUUCUGUACUGCCAUUAAUUAAAUAAAAAAAACUACAAGUCAGUCACAGUAUAUGAUGCAGAUGUCUUUUUUUUUUAGGAUGAAGGUCAUUAAGACAAAAUAUGAGCCAGGUGCACCAACCAUGCUGUCAUAGCUGUUGAUUGGAUCAAGAUUUAGCAGACAAUGUCAAAUACUGCUUCCGAGAAAAAAGAUAAUCUGAAAUCUUGUCCUGGAAUUAAGAUUGCUUUUAAUUGAGGAUGAUCUUGUGUUUGGGGAUUAGUCCUAAUUAGUAACAGCAUGAGGAAAGAACAUCUGCCCAGAUGGUAUAGAUUAGGACUUACAUUAUACUGUCCGUCUAAUAUGGUCAUUAAAAAUGCUAAGAAAAAACACAAUUUUCAUUUUCAGCAGAAGCUGUGUGUGUGAGAUCUAAAAUUCAGAAAGUUACCAGUUUUAAUGUGCCAUCUACUGACCACUCCAGGUUACUACCGUUCAGGUAGUUGAGAUAUGUUGUGUUAUGUCGCCAUCUGGUGGCCACUAAGUUAAACUUGUUAAGAAACUAACUUUUGACUUAAAUGUGUAGUUUGUUUCCAGUAAAGUUAUUAGGAGCAGAGAGAACAUGUUGCAUGCAGUUAAUCUAAAUGAUGUGAAAGCGUGUUUAGUCUGUUAGAGUAGGCCUUUUGUGCCAAUGUCCCUGCUCUGACAGACUAGAUGUGAUCAUCAAACGGACCCAAAGGACUGAUACGUCACUCGACAUGCGCACUGUGCAAGCUCAGCCAGUGUUUUAGUGCAGAACAGGUCGUCGGUGAUUUCUGUAAGUUGUGCGAAAGUGAAACUCUAAGUGUUACCUCAUUUAUUAGGUUAUUAAUGAUUAUGUUAGUUUCAUGCUGGUUAAAAAUUAGCCUACAAAUAGAUAUUACACAGUACUGCGACCCAAAGCAACUGAAUGAACAGGCUGUAAUCCAUAGUUUGAUGAUACCUUAGUAUUUUUAUUCUGAAAGAUUUAUACUGAGCAAUCUAAUAACAAUGAGUGGCAGUGUUUAUGUUUUACUAUGUUUGUUUGUUUAUGUAUUAGUUCAACAGGUUAUUAUUUCUCACCGUGUGGCCACUACUAGUAAUGAAAACCUGACUUAUUAUUUAUCAUUAAUUAUAUUAAUUACAGCUAAAAAAUUACAUAAAAUGUAAUUUAAAAAAGCAUAAUAUAUUAAUAACAAAUUUUGUAUCAUAUCUUACAUGUUACAGUCAGGGCUGGCUCAGAUAGUGUUAGUAUCACAGUAUCCCUCCACUGCAGCUCAGAGAUUUGUCUUGAUUUGUCUAAGUCGGACUGCUGACGCCUCGUAUUAGCUUCAGAUAAAGUUUGGAAUACAUUUUUACACAGAACCAGGACUGUGGAUUUUGUCUCCCGUCACUUACUGUACAUGGAAAGCACAUUAGGAAGGGAUUUUGAAAGGCUGGUAUGAACAGGAGGAAUAAUUACAGCAAGCAACAACUGUUUCAAUGUUAAUAUGGGAACCUGACUGGUGUUUUAAGAACUGAAAAAUUGUGAACCUUUCCUUUCAAAUAUUCUGGUUAAGGUUGUCAUAAGCUAUUCUGGUGUGAUAUAGGGUUCUGGUUAGAACCAUGGUUUGUCAUAGUUAGCCACUAUGCCCCCUGAUCCUUUUGUCCUCUUCUGUAUCUGCCUUCCCCUGUGUUUCCUGGCGGUCCCCUGUUCGUCUUGUUUGUGUGUGUGUGUGUGUUUGUGUCUGGGUUCUGGGCUGGUUUCCAGAUCUCCCGGCUGCUAUUGAUUACCGGCACACCUGAUCAUUAUUAUCAUCAACCACCACAGUUAUCUACCGGGCUCAUCCACACUUCCAGCGCCAGAUCGUCUUCGUACCCAACCUCUGUGUUGCCGGUGAUCACUUCCUCGUGCCACGGCCAUCGGACUCUAGUCUCAGUCUCAGCGUGUCUUCACCCGAUCAGCCCAGCCUUCCACCACGCCAGCCAGUCCAGAACCCGCUUCCCUGGUCUCCGCUCAACGCACCGCCCUCCAGCCUCUGUCCAGUCCGGUCGAACUCUCCGUACUACAACGCACUUCGCCAGACACGCCGCGAUCUCCGGAUCUAUCCACACAAUAAAACUGUUCUGACCUUGA